UACGGGGGGGGCAAGCGUUGUUCGGAAUUACUGGGCGUAAAGGGCUCGUAGGCGGCCAACUAAGUCAGACGUGAAAUCCCUCGGCUUAACCGGGGAACUGCGUCUGAUACUGGCAGGCUUGAAUCCGGGAGAGGGAUGCGGAAUUCCAGGUGUAGCGGUGAAAUGCGUAGAUAUCUGGAGGAACACCGGUGGCGAAGGCGGCAUCCUGGACCGGUAUUGACGCUGAGGCGCGAAAGCCAGGGGAGCAAACGGG
RNAcentral lists this ribosomal RNA (253 nucleotides) under uncultured bacterium. Its description in RNAcentral is "partial 16S ribosomal RNA". It matches the Rfam family "Bacterial small subunit ribosomal RNA", at positions 524 to 776 of the family's 1533-position model. The record is from RNAcentral.